This 20016-nucleotide long non-coding RNA is filed under the name Capsella rubella. RNAcentral describes it as "long non-coding RNA (CRUB_LNC002367)". Lineage: Eukaryota; Viridiplantae; Streptophyta; Magnoliopsida; Brassicales; Brassicaceae. The record is from RNAcentral.
GAACCUCCCUUGCACUCUUCCUUUCUCUCAACCUUCUCUUCUUCACUUACGCCUCUGCGGCUUGUCCUAGAGACUCCCUACAGCUCGGUGUUUGCGCCAAAGUACUCUUGCAAGUGGAGCUAAAAUUUAACACAUCUUUAAAGCCAUGCUGCUCUCUCAUCCAAGGCUUGGCUGACCUUGAUGCUGCUGUAUGCCUCUGUGAUGUGCUCAAGACUAAGGUUCUUGGAACACCUCUUAACCUUCCCCUCAAUCCCAGCGUACUCCUCAGUGUUUGCGGUAGAGAAGCUCCAAACAACUUCCAGUGCGCGUAAGUUGAAUGGGUGUUUAUGAUGAACCUAUCUUCUUAUCUUCUUGUUUUAUGUUAAGGUGGUUUUUUUUUUUUUUUUGUAUUUUUCUUGAAUUCGUUUUCAUGCAAAUAUGCAAUAAUGGAUAUAAUGCAUGGGUUUGUGUAUGCAUGUAAUCGGCAAGUUUGUACUCCUUUACUUCAUUGUUCCUCUGUCCCUUCUUUGUAAUUAUUUUUUUUCGAAUUUGAUAUAAUAAUUUCACUUCUUACUAUAAUUAAAUUUUAACAUAAUUAGAAAUGAAAAAAAGCCAUAUUGGAAAAAUAAUAAUUAAGAUGCUUGGAAUCUCGGUGUUUAAUGAACUUGGUGAAUGUGACAUUAGUCAUUAAGUGCUUCUUAAUUUAGUUAAGCCGUGUAAAUGUAAUUGCAACCUCAUUGAAGGUUUCGCUGAUGACCUAGAAGCUGCGGUAUCAUCAUUAACCUUAGCUUGAUCCUCAGCUUCACAUGGCUUCCAAUGCCCUUAAUUUAAAAACAAUUAUUUCUAAAACUUGGUUAAUAGGAAUUAAUUAUAUACAAAUAUUGAAGCUGUUUUCCGGCAGAUCUCACCAAGAUCGAAGUCUAUAUUUGAUCUGAACAGUUUUGUACCUCAAACUAACAAGUGCAAAUUAAGUAAACUAAUCAUUUUCGAAUUAUAUUUUAGGAGAUCUUUUUCUUUUCAAUGUAAGAUUUUCAGCAGAAAUGACUCUUCUAACUUUUUAUCUGAUUUAAUCUAUAUAUAUAUAAAGUUAGCUUUUUCUCUCUUCUCCUUAAGCCACAUCAUCAUCCACCUCAUUUUAUUAUUUAAUUUUUAAAAUUAAUUAUACCAUUUUAUCAUUUAAUUUUAAGAUUUAAACCUAUAUAAACCUAUAUAAAGUUAGCUUUUUCUCUCUUCUCCUUAAGCCACAUCAUCAUCCACCUCAUUUUAUUAUUUAAUUUUUAAAAUUAAUUAUACCAUUUAUCAUUUAAUUUUAAGAUUUAAACCUAUAUAAAUAAAUUUAUCAAAAAUGAAUAUGAAAGGUCUUUUUUAUAGAAAUUUGGUGGUUGUGUCAGGAAAUUUGAUAAUAUUAACUUUAUAUAUAUAGAUUACAUCUUAUCUCAACAGAUAUUAGACUUACUAUAAUGUCAAAUUGUUUCUUAAUUUAUAUUUGAUUUCAAUUUUAAAUCAUUUCCUCUGCUUUCAAUUUUUGACUUGAUUAACCCGUCAGAGUUCAAAAAAAAAAAAUUAGUUUAUAUUAUUGAUCACAUUGGACAUGCUUUCCCUAAAAUUCUUGCAAAGUUGCAAUUGGCCAAAAUUUAAAAUUUAAGUUAGACGAAUUAAUAUGUAUCUUUCUUUUUUUAAGUUAAGUGAAAUAUGAUUUGAUAACUCCAACCAUCUGAGAUGAAAUAAUACAAUAUUAUCACAUGGAAAUGAAAUAAUAAACUAUAUGUCUUCGUCUGACUAAAUGAUGUUUUAGAAAUAAUGGUGACAAAGGUAUUUGUUAAAUAUAUCACAUGGACAAAGCAUGGAGGAAUAAAGAAACUCAUUCCAAUUUCGAUGUGCUUAAUUAACAAAAAUAGAUGUUUAAAUGAAAAUAGCAGGUUUUAGAAAAGAAACCUGUGAUACCUAGAUAUACAUAAUAUUUGCUUAGAUAUAGGUGCUAUACUACUAGCUUUGAUAUAACGUCAAAAAUAACUCACUCCAACUUAUUAUCCCUUGAUGAUGAAGAGUUUUUAGGUUUAACUUGCGAAAGGUGGGAUUUACGAGCUGGUCUGAAUCACUCUCUCGUCAAUCAGGAGGUCGUACAGGGAAUAGAUCAGGUGAGUGACUCGUUUAAUCAGUAGGAUAAAUGACUCACUCGAUCAAUGGACGAAUGAAGGAUGUUGAAUCACUCAACAAACUUAGUUCGCAGAUUUUGUAAGUAUUAAGUGACUCACUCAUAAAGAACUGAAAAACAAGAUUGAAAAGACUCAAACUUUGACAAGAAGAAAAAAUUUCUACUGCUUUGAAAUGAUCAAGGGUGUUUUACAAAUGAACAAUCUAAUGAGCUUAUAUAGGCUCAACUACACGUUCUAGUAGUCUAAAAGAGGUGUAUUCAAAAUGGAAUUUUAAGAGAUUUGAGUUUUUAAAUGAUUAUGAUGAUUUUAGAGAAGUUCAUAUGACUUUUGUAAAAUCCUUUUACAUCUCACCAAAAACCAUGAGAUUUGGAUUUCUGUAUUUUUAACUAAGGAAUUCCUUUCAAAUCUUCUGAAAUCCUUCAAAAUCAUUAAAAGCCAAAUCCACAAAUUGUUUUCAAUAACAGUGGAUUUGAAUGUGGAUUUUGAAAUAAUUAGUUCAAUAACAAUGGAUUUCAUGAGACUUUUUAAAAUUUAUAUUUGAAUAACACUAGAUUAAUAAGUUCUACACAAAUCUCUUAAAAUGCUACUUUGAAUACACCUCCCUAAACCAAGAAACAAAUCGCAUAAAAUUGAAGACACUAGCCGUUGGGAAUUUAUGAACCAAAUCAGCUAAAUAAGGCAAGUAGAAAGAUACCUUGAGUUUUGAAAGCUUUGGUGCGAAAACAUGAUUUCUUAAGGUGUCUAGGUUCAUUUUAGAAAGCUUCAAGAUGUACAUAAGAAAAUAAGGAAGUAGUCGUUGCAGCUUUAUCUCCUUUGGUUCCAUGUAUGAUAAGUAGUGACUCGUCGGUUUCUUGUAUGGUAAGGUGUACUAAAGGUCGUGUUGCACAAGUAUUGUUUGGUCUAAAUAUUUACAUGGUUUCCAUAUCUUAUUAUAUAAACCUUGGUUUUCAAAGUUAGCCAUUAACAAGAUCGUGACACGUGUUAAUUAUAAUUGAUAAGAUAUUGACACAUGUCGUAACUAAUUUUGUUAAUAUUUGGAUAAUAUAGAAAUAUUAUUAACCCUAUCGAAAAAAGAAAUAUAUAAAAUAAAUAUUAUUAAUAAAAUAUACAAAUAACCUAAUUUCAGUUAUGUCAAUUUGGUUUAUCAAUAAGAUAGGGAUUUAAAAUUUAUAAUUAACAAGAAUAUAUGACGAUUUUUGUUUACAGAAGAGAAUUAAGGUUUAAACUUUAAUUUUACGAUUAAAUCAGGUUAUUUGUUGGUUUGGGUAUAUAAAUGAUAAAUAAGAAUUAUGGUUUAUCUUUAUAAAUUAAAAUUAUGGUUGAAGUUUAACAAUUAAACGAGAUUAUAUGUCGAAACUUGGUUUUUAAANNNNNNNNNNNNNNNNNNNNNNNNNNNNNNNNNNNNNNNNNNNNNNNNNNNNNNNNNNNNNNNNNNNNNNNNNNNNNNNNNNNNNNNNNNNNNNNNNNNNUGCAAUAUGGUAUAUCUAAUUUUGUUAAUAUUAAGAUACAAAUAGAUUUUUUAAACAACAUUAAAAAAUAAUUAUAAAAAAUGAAAGAGAAUUUUUGAGAAAUAUCCCUUUUGGUGUAUCACUUUUCAAAAAUACCUCAUUUAUCUAUCCAUUUUCAAAAAUAUCCAUGUUUAAAUAUGAAAAAUUUUAAAGUUUUAUAUGGUUUAUAAGGCACUUUUAUAUAAUAACUACUACUUGGAAAUUUGAUACAAAUAUUUUAUAAUGUUUUAAAAGAUUCUGAAUCGUUUUUACAAGUUUUAUAAGGUUUUUAAGUGGUUUUAAAAAGGGUUUAUAAGGUUUUUAAAAGGUAUUUAUAAGUUAUUUUACGCUAUUUAUGAAAGAUAUAUAAAAAUUUUAACAUAUAUAAAGGUAAUUUGUGUGUAUAUUUAUAAGUUUACACACAUAUUUGGAUAAAUUUUAAUAUUUAUAGUUGUUUUUUUAUAAAGUUUGAAAUAGGGGUAUUUUUAAAAAGUGGUAUGGAAAAAGGAUAUUUUUGAUAAAUUAAAAAGUAAAAAAAUUGAAAUUUAUAUAAAAAAAGCGUAAGCUUAUAUAUUUAGACACAAAUUAUCUUUCUAUUUGUGUAAAUUUUAAAUACCAUAUAAAUACCUUUUAAAAACCUUUUAAAAUUAUUUAAAAAACAUAUAAAAACUUUGUAAAUCUUAUAAAAACCUUAUAAAAGUCUUAUAAAUGCCGUUUAAAACCUUUUUAAAACUUUAUAAAUAUUUGUAUUGAGUCUCCCAAUAGUAAUGAUGAUCUAGAUGUACCUUAUAAACUAUAUAAAAGUUGACAGUUUUUCAUAUUUGAAAAGGGAUAUUUUUAAAAUGGAUAGAAAAUUGGUGUAUUUUUAAAAAGAGGUACACCAAAAGGGGUAUUUCUCAAAAAUUCUCUUUUAACUAUUAACCUAAUUUUUGGUUUUGCGAGUUGUAGGUUUUACAAUUAUAAGGGUUAUAUGUUGAGUUUAUAAAUGUGCAUUAUAGUUUAGAUUUUAUUAUUAAACGAGAUUAUUUAUCGGUUUGGGUUUAUUAAAGAUGAGUGAGAUUUAGGUUUAACAAUUAAACAAGGUUAUUUCUCAGUUUGGGUUCAUAAAGGAGAAUUAGGAUUUACAAUUUACAAAUAAAUUAGAUUUUGAGUUUAACUAAAUUCAUAAUUUUAUUCAUGAUUUCUAUUUUAUAAUAUGUUAUAUUUGUUUAAUUUUUAAUUUAUGUACGAAUGUAUUAUGCCAUUGAGCAAUUUCAUUGUCUAAAACAUAAGGGUGAAUAAAAUAACAAAGUUUAAUAUAAAUCGUAAUAUAGUAAUUUUAAAAUAUUUUUAAAGAAAAUANNNNNNNNNNNNNNNNNNNNNNNNNNNNNNNNNNNNNNNNNNNNNNNNNNNNNNNNNNNNNNNNNNNNNNNNNNNNNNNNNNNNNNNNNNNNNNNNNNNNAAUUCGUAAUUGAAAUUUUUUUUAAUGUUUUCGUCAACGAUGUUGUAAUUUAUUUUAGAAUCUUUAUGUUUAUUUGCGUUGUUUAUAUGAUUUUAUUUACAAAUGACUAUAUUUGUAUUUAACAUCAUAUUUUUGAUUGAUGUUAAUUUGAAAGAACUUUACCAUCAUAUUAAAUAAUAAUUAAUUAAUUUUCAUAGUCUGAGUAUGAUUUUUUGAAAAAUUGAAAGUUAAGAAAUAACAAUUUUUACAAAAUGGUAUAAUCAUGUUUUAGAGGAUAAUUGGUAAAUUAAGAUUUUUUGAAAUAUUUUAGCAAGAUUAUGAGUAAUGGUGAAUAGCUCCCAAAUAGCUCCCAAAUGUUUUGGUGAUUGUCAGUUUGACAUUACUAGAUUUAUAUAAUUAACGUUUUAUAACGAAUUUUAUUAAAUAUAUAUUUCAAACCAAAUAAAAUCUCUUUCCAAAUGAAAUUAAUUUCUCUUAUUUUUUCAAACAAAACUUUUGAAAUUAUAUUUUUAUAAUUUAUAGUAAAUUUUAAUUUUAAUUUAAUUUUAAAUAAAGAUAACCCGUCCAUCGGACGGGUACUAUACUAGUAUAGAUAUAAAAUCUACAUUCGGUCCAAUAUUCAUUUUUUUAUCUUCAAUCGAAUUUUUUAGCUUUUUUAAUAUUUUAAAAUUCUUAUCCAAUAUAAUUAAGAGAACACUAAUACUCUAUUGUUGUAUGUGCGACCCGAUUAUAAUUCGAAAGAAUACCAAUACGUUAUCGUAUUUUGUUUUUAAUGUCUGUAUUUCACUAUGGUAAAGAUUGUACAUGAUUACAAUGCAAAUAAUUAAUCAGAAGCUGGGAUACAAAGUAGUGAAAAAGAAACUGAUUAUCGUUUAAUCGGAGAUUUGGCCAAAAUAUUUGUUGCUUUGUCGUUUGCUCUAUGUAUCUAACAAAAUUUGACUGAUUCAAAUUUUUGUUUCCAAUGUGUGGUUUCUUGAAAUCUAAUUAUAAUAAGAAAAGUUGUGAUUCCUUUUAUGUACAUAGCAUGUCAAUGACUUGUUUAGAGUCUCCUUCGAAUAUUACUCGCUGAUGUCCUUGACUCCAAGUGUGCUGCAUUGCCAUAACCAAUACAUUAUCGUUAUAUAAGUAAAAUAACCUAGAGUUUAGGAUUUAAAGUUAUAGCGAGUUUGCAUCAUGAUUUGUUAACGAAUAUUAUGAAAUGUGAAGCAUGUUUUAUUUCGUAAGAUAUUAUCCUAUUAAAAACUACAAUAAAAUCUCUACAACUUGAUACUCGACAAAUUAAUAAUCUCCAUAAAUUAAUAAUUAAAUGAAAUUAUUAAUAUAUAUAUAUAUAUGUAAUAUUUUUAGUGAAAUAUAAUUAUCAUUAUGUUAAAUAUUCUUAUAUUUACAUUAGUUUUUGUUAGCAUUCAAUUCUAAUAGAUUUCAUGUAUCAAUAAAUUUAUAGUGUUUUAUUCAUUCAUGAUGAUUGUUGUUUUUUGUUGUAAUUGAUUAUAAAAAAAAUAUUGAUUAGAAUGGUUAAAUUUUAUUUUGAGGUAUAUAUAUUUUUAAAUUUACCAAAUUAGGAAAAUAUUGAUAAAUUAAUGAUUUUAUAAAUUAAUAAAAUUUAAUGAUCCUAACAUUAUUAGUUUAUAGAGGUUUUACAGUAUUGCUUAUGUGAAUCAAAUCUUUGGGCAUCCCAAAUAUAUCGGGUCAACUUUCAAAAAGAAAAAUAUACAGCAAAAGUUCAACUUAUGUUUUCAUUUGAUUAUUGUUUAUGAUCGUUGACUUCAUGCCAUUAUUACCUGUCUGUAGUCUUACAGAAAUAUGUUUAUCUGUUUUUGUAAGAAAAUAUAUAUUAUUUAUUUUUAAUGUAUUUACCAAAAAAAUCAUAUAUAAACUAUAUAUUUAUAUAUGUUAAUCUCCUAUAAUCAUAUGAUGAGAUAAAAAAUUAUUACGUUCGUUAAGAAUUAAUUUUUCCUUAAUAAACAUGACGAUGAUCACCAAUUAGUUAAAACUCUUUGAAACCAUAUGGUCAACUUCUUUCAUUUUCACGUUUUAUAGAUAUAUUACGUAGUUAAUUAAAGAGAACAUCACUUUAAAAAAAAUUAUAUAUAUAUAUAUAUAUAUAAUUGACCAAUCAAUCGAUCAAUAUUAUAGAUACGAAUGAUUUUAGCAUGAUGAUUAUCAUAUUAUAACAUUUAAUUUAUUUUAAAGAAUAGAAAUGGCCAAUCAAUUGAUCAAUUUUAUAGAAAAGAAUGAUUUUGGCAUGAUGAUUAUCAUAUUAUAUUAUAUUAGCAUGUUCGACCUUAAUUUAUAAUCCGUAUAUAAUAAAAUAUACACCAUUAGUACACGAAACUAUAUGUUACUUAAUCAGCAAAAUGAUCAAAGUAGUAUGAUCACGUACACUAUAUCAUUACAAUAUAUCAUAGAAAUGUAUUAUCCGAAAGAGAUUGAGAUAAGUCCAAACUAGUAAAUCUAGUUUUUGGAUUUUGUAAACCCAAAAAAAAUCCAAACUAAUAUAUCUGUCCUUCUUGUAACCCUUGUUAUAUACGGAGUGAUUUUAUAAGUCCAACAAUUUAAGAAUACUAAUACAACUAUCACGUGGAAAUGAAGUAAUAAAAUUUGUCUUCGUCUGAGAGACUAAAUGAUAAUGGUGAUAUAAGUAUGCCCCGUUACAAAGGUAUUUGUUGAAGGAUAAUAUUUAUGAGACUUUGCACAAUUAGUUUCCAAAAAUAAGAUUAAUAUAUUUGAUUAUAUUUUUAACACUCGUGAAGUCCCGUACAUACAUUGGUAUAAGUUAUACUGUAUAACUAGGAACUUUGGGAGUUGUCUACUUAAUUAGUUUAGAGGAUCGACUUCAACCAUACCAAAUUUUGUUUUAUGGAUAUAUAAUUUUAUACCAGCAACUAUAGGUUUUUAAUUAAAAUUAGAACCAUAUACUACUAGACAUUACCAGCUCAUUAUAGUGUUCUUUAAUGAUCAAAUCAUAUCAAUAACAAAAUUAGUCAACUAAUCCCCUAGUAACGACAAAUUAGCUAUGAAACCUUCACAAUUCUCUCCUAGUGAAAACCCUAUAAAUACACACUAAACACUUAACCUUUCUCUCCACCCAUCUCAAACAAGCUUAAACGCACUACUACUUCUUGAGCCUUUUCCACUCCACAAAACAAAAUGGCUCCAAGAACCUCCCUUGCACUCUUCCUUUCUCUCAACCUCCUCUUCUUCACUUUCACCUCUGCGACCACAGGUACUUGUCCUAGAGACGCCCUCAAGAUCGGUGUUUGCGUCAGUGUGCUCAACAUAGUGGACCUAACAUUGGGAAACCCACCCGUACAGCCAUGCUGCUCUCUCAUCCAAGGCUUAGCUGACCUUGAGGCUGCUGUCUGCCUUUGCACUGCUCUCAAGGCUAGCGUUCUUGGAAUCAACCUUAACCUUCCCAUCAACCUCAGCGUUCUCCUCAAUGUUUGCGGUAGAAAAGCUCCAACCAACUUCCAGUGCGCUUAAGUUAAAAAUGAAGUUAUGGCAAAAAAAAAAAAAAAAAAAAAAAAAAAAAAAAUCAAUAAUCAACAAUCAAUAAUCAUAUAUACAAUGUAUGAAUAAUAAAUGAAUAAUCAUACAAUGUAUGAAUACUUGAAACCGUUAUCUUAUCUUCUUGUCUUUAUUUUAAGGUGAUUUCUUUUUUUCUUUGCAUUUGUAUUUGUAUUUGUCGUGGAUUGUUGGAAACUAACGUAUGAACGUUCUCAUGCAAUUACCCAAUAUUGGGUUUUGUGUGUAGUCGGCAAGUUUUUUCCUCCUUUGCUUCAUUGUUCCUCCAUCUCUUCUUUGUAAUUGUGUCCUUCGACGUUUAUUAAUAAAAGUAUCCAUCUUUAUGUUUUUUUUGUCUAUAUUGGUUAUCGAGUAUUUAUGCAUGUCUAUCUUAUAAACCAAGAUAAAAAGAUAAUAUUACAUACAUGAUACAUAUAUAUACCACAAAAACAUGUCUUGGCUAGUAUUACCUUAGCUUGUAAGCAUUAAGACAUGUAACAUCCAUUGCCUAUACCAUGCAAGAAUGGUGGGGAAUUUUUUUUUUUUUUUUCAAACUAGAUAAGAAUGUGUACAAGAUAAAUUCUUCAAACAGACAGCACUUGCAAACUUGGGAGAUAGUUUAAAAUAAAGAACUACUAAAUGUAUUUUUUUAUUUUUUUUAUUUUUUUUAACUACUAAAUGUAUUGUAAUGUGUUAGACGUAAUAUACAUAGUAGUCAAAAUAUAUUUUGACAUAGAAUUUAGAACUUUUUGCCAAAUAUCAAAGGCUUUAAAAGUAGUAGAUAAUGUAAUUACUAAUAAGUUAAAAAAUCAUAAUUAAGUUGGUAAUCGAUUUUUGGCUUGACUUGGGACGAAAAAUGUAAUUUUUUCUUAACAAGUCACUGGUAUAUAUUUUUUGAGAACUAAACCUUGAGUUUUACUUAUAUGAAUAGUUAAAAGUCACAAUUUUGUAUUCACUUUAUUACUGUUUAUGAUCAUUGAUUUUUUUUCCAUUACUAACUGUAUUUAGUCUUACAGAAAUUAAUGUGUUUUUAUUCUUUUUUUGUAAGAAAAUCUAUAAUGUAGUAACCGGAAAAAUUCAAAUGAAAACAUAUGCAUGGUGAUAUUAAAAUCUAGGUUCAUUAAGAAAUAACUUUGCUUUUUGAUAGGAUCUUGUAAGAAUUAAUUUUGCCUUAUCAACAAGACGAUGAUCACUACUACAGUAUAUAUAUAUAUAUAUAUAUAUAUUACUUGCCGUUAUUUUAUUUUGUAGUAUAUUUUGUCGUUAAUAUAAUAAAAGGAUCUCGCACAUACAUCUCAUUCAACACAUAUACAUGAUUUAUUUACCAAAAAAUAAAAUAUAUACAUGAAUAUUUCGUUAUAACAACUCUAACAAUGAUUAUAUAUUAUUCAUACUGGACAUGCUUUCAAAUUUAAAUUUUGCGCAAAACUGCAAUUGGCCAAAAUUUAAUCUAGACGAGUUAUGGUUUGAUUAAGUCCAACCAUUUGAGACUACCAAAUAGUAUUAUUACAUGGAAAUGAAUUAAUAAACUUUGUCUUCGUCUGACUAAAUGAUGAUUUAAAAAUAAUGACAAAGGGAUUCGUUAAAUAUAUAUAUCACAUGCACAAUGCAUGGAGGAAUAAAAAAACUCAUUCCAAUUUCGAUGUGCUUAAUUAACAUAAAUAGAUGUUUAAAUGAUAAAUAGCAGGUUUUAAAAAAACUUGUGAUACCUAGAUAUACAUAAUGUUUUCUUAGAACUUGGUAUUAUACUACUAAUUAACUUUGAUACACUAAUUACUAACGUAAUAACUAAUAACAUAACUCUGUACUCCAACUAACCAAGAAAUCAUAAGAUCGAUUGGCAGCUGAUACAAGUAAAUCAUAAAUGGCUGGCUUGAGCUUAAUUAAAAGAUGAAUGUGAUUCAUAUAAUAUAAAAAUUCGUGAGUUGUCUAGUUAAUUAGUUUAGAAGAUCGACUUCAACCACCAAAUUGUUUUUAUAGAUAUACAAAUUAAAACCAUAUACUCUUAAAGAUUACCAGCUAAUUUGAACAAUGACAAUUAAGUGGUUUUUAAUAAUCAAAUCAUAUCUAUAAGAAAUAAGCCAACUAAUAAUUCAAAUUAUCAAUUAAACCUUCACAUUUCUCUCCUAAUGAAAACCCUAUAAAUACCCACUAAACACUUAACAUUUUUCUCCACACAUCUCAUACAAACUUAAACGCACUACUACUUCUUGAGCCUCUUCGACCUCACAAACCAAUGGCUCCAAGAACUUCCCUUGCACUCUUCCUUUCUCUCAACCUCCUCUUCUUCACUUACACCUCUGCGGCCACCCCGAGCAGACAGACUUGUCCUAGAGAUUCCCUACAGCUCGGUGUUUGCGCCAAUGUACUCAAGCUAGUGGACCUAACAUUGGGAAACCCACCUGUAAAGCCAUGCUGCUCUCUCAUCCAAGGCUUGGCUGACCUUGAAGCUGCUGUCUGCCUCUGCACUAUGCUCAAGGUUAACCUUCUUGGGAUCAACCUUAAUCUUCCCAUCGAUCUCAGCGUUCUCCUCAAUGUUUGCAGUAGAAAAGCUCCAAAGAACUUCCAGUGCGCGUAAGUUGAAUAGUGUUUAUGAAGUCUUGGACCUAUUUUCUUAUCUUCUUGUUUUAUGGUAAGGUGAUUUCGUUUUGUAAUUUUCUUGAAUUGUUUAAGUGAACGUACGUUCUCAUGCAAUAAUGGAUAAUGCAUGCAUGGGUUUGUGUAUACAAUACAUGUAUUUGGCAAGUUUGUACUCCUUUACUUCAUUGUUACCCCGUCCCUUCUUUGUAAUCUAUUUUUCGAAUUUGAUAUAAUAAAUUCACUUCUUACCAUAAUUAAAUUUUAACAUUAUAACUUAAAAAGCCCUAUUGGAAAAAAUAAUUAAAAUGCCCUAUCUGUUCUUCUUACAAAAGAUGCUUGGAAGCUCGAUGUUUAACUUGUUGAAUGUGACCAUCCUGUCUCUAUAUAUCUGAAGACCCAAUAGAAAAAUCAAGACUCUUACUCAAUUUUUCUUUUUCCAAUAUAAGAGAUUUUUACCAUAAGAAAUUUUCAAAAUUUUAUUUAUUUUGGAUCCAUAGCAAAUGCCUAGGUGCAACCUCAUUGACGGUUUGGUUGAAUCAGAUUAUGCGGUUUGUCUUUGCACCGUGAGUAAAGCUAAAAUUCUAAAACUUGUCGAUUGCAGCAGAAUGGUUUCCAAUGCCCUUAAUUUGAAAACGUAAAUUUCUAAAACUUGGUUCAUAGACUUAUUUAUAAAUAUGAAAGUUGUUUUCCCAUCAAAUAUAACCAUAUAUAAGAUUGAUAAACAGAAACCAAUAGCUGGUUAAACCUUAAAAAAACGAGAAAUUAACAAGAAUUUAUUUAGUAAACUAUUUUACGAGUGGCCAUUUCUCUUUUAAUAGUAUAGAUUUCCAACACACACAAAAAAAUGUUCUAACUUUAUAUCUUGACUUAAUUUCACUAUAAAAUCCCUAAUAUUAAUUUUGUCUCAGUUCGAUUGGAUCAAUUUCAAACCGUGAAAAUUCCAUGUCUACUCAAUCCAUUUAAUCUCUAGUCGGUUGUCGAAAAAAAAUAUUAUAAUCUCUAGUCGGCAAAAUUUUGGUUUGAUCUCAAUUGGAUUUCUGAUUCAAAAUUAAUUAACAGUGAGUAAAUUAAUGGCAAUUUCCUUAUAUAUAAUGUUAAGUCUCCAGAGUUCAAAAAGAACAAUUGGUUUUUUAUUUUAACAUGGUAUCAAAGUCUAUAUUUGAUCUUAUAUUCUUUUUCAUUUUGAAAAAUCACAUAUUCUUUAUUUAAUGUUUCGCUUUUUUUUUGCUCAUUUUAAAUUAUAACCUAAUAUAAUUAAGAGAACAUCAAUACUCUAUUAUUGUAUAUGCGACCCGAUGAUAAUUCAAAAGAAUACCGGUAGUCUAUUGUUAUAUACUGUAUAUGUGAAGUUAUUUAGGAUUUAUGAUUUAAAGUUAUAGCGAGUUUGCAAUAUGAUUUGUUAACGAAUAUUAUUAAAUGUGAAGCAUGUUUUCUUUGGUAACAAAUAAUAUACUAUACAAACCUAAGCGUCAGAAUUUUGGUAUACAAUAAUAUUGGUUAUGUGAAUCAAAUCUUCGGACAUCCCAAAUAUAACGGGUCAACUUUCAAAAAGAAAUAUAUUCAGCAAAAGUUCAACUUGGUUCUCACUUAACCGAAUACAAACCUGAAAUGCCUAACGAGAGAACAAACUUGAAAGCUGAAACAUUAGAGCAAAAAUACAAACUUAACGAAGUUUGAUAGAUCAUGUUUAACGAAGUUGUCAAAGCGGUGUAUGGUAGGCAAAGCUGUGAUGGAAACCCUUUUCAAAAGUCUUUUCACCACUGACUGUAAAGGAAGUCACCAUUUGAAUAUUAUUGUUAUGAUCACUAAUGUUAUGCCAUUAUAUAUUACCUGUAGCUUUAUGUAUAGUCUUACAAAUAUGUGAUAUAUAGUAUUUAUAUUUGAUGCACUAACCGAAAAUUUCAGAUAUAAACUUCUUUCAUUUUUGACGUCUUUUUAGAUAGAUUAUGUAGUUAAUAAAAAGAAUAUAAUUGACCAAUAAAUACAUCAAUUUUAUAGUAAAGAAUGAUUUUCGCAUGAUGAUUAUAUAUUAUUAAUUGUAAGCCUUUCCAUGGAAUUACUAAAUUCUCGAUAUCUCUUAUAGUCAGCUAGCUACACGUGAGCCAUACACUAUUUGCAUGUUCGACCAUUAUUUUAUUAAUCGGAAUAUAACAAAAGAUGCCAUUAUUAAUUCACGAAACCAUAUGUUAUUUAUUCAGAGAAAAAAAUAUCCAAGUGGUAAGAUCUCGCACAUACCUGAUCAUUCAAUAUAAAUCAUUGAAAUGUAUUAUCCGAAAGAGAAAUAAUAACGAUGAUUUUGUCGUUAAAUAACUUAAUAAGUAAAAGUCAUUUGCUAAUAAAAACAUUUCACAUAAGAUUUUUCUAUAAUUAAAAAAAAUUAUCAAAAAAAGAUGCAACUUCUCCCAUCUUGUUUCUAAUUCUUUUUAUAUCUAUUUAAAACAAAAACUAUACUACAAAAAAAAAAAAAGAAGAAAAAGAAAAGAGAACUCUUAAAUUUUCUCACACACUAUACUAUGAUUUUGGGGAGUUUGGAACCAUCUAAAGAUUUCUUAAACCAUUUCACCAUUCUCUACAAAAAUCCAAUUCACGUUGGACUCAUAUCCAUCCUUUGCUCUAACUUUCUCCACAUUUCCAUCUGAUAGAAUUCAUGAGCUAAGACGAUUUGUGAAAUGAUUUUUUUAUUUCUCAAUCGUAAUAAACAUUGCAGUGUGUGUUUAUAUACAAUAAAUUAAUGUAAAUCGGAAUCUCAUGUCAAUUAACUUAACCAGUAAUCCAGCUACUCUAAUACCAUCACUUUUUAUUUUUUAAAUCUUUCUCAGAUCUACUAAUUUGAAACUUCAUUGAAAAAAACAAUUUUUAUCAGUUAACUAAAAAAAGGACAAUUGGAUAUAUCAAUUCUUACCACCGACUAAGUUGUUAAUUAAAAUAAGAACCAUAUACUCCUAGAGAUUACCAGCUCAUUUGAACAAUAGAAAAUAUUUAAUGUUCUUUAAACACAAAUAGUCAACUAAUCCCCUAGUAACGACAAAAUAUCAAUGAAACCUUCACAAUACUCUCCUAGUGAAAACCCUAUAAAUAGACACUAAACACUUUUUGACAAAAAAAAAAAAAAGACACUAAACACUUAACAUUUCUCUCCACCCAUCUCAAACAAACUUAAACGCACUACUACUUCUUGAGCCUUUUCCACUCCACAAAACAAAAUGGCUCCAAGAACCUCCCUUGCACUCUUCCUUUCUCUCAACCUCCUCUUCUUCACUUACACCACUGCGACCACAGGUACUUGUCCUAGAGACGCCCUCCAGAUCGGUGUUUGCGUCAGUGUGCUUAACAUAGUGGACCUAACAGUGGGAAACCCAGCCGUACAGCCAUGCUGCUCUCUCAUCCAAGGCUUAGCUGACCUUGAGGCUGCUGUCUGCCUUUGCACUGCUCUCAAGACUAGCAUUCUUGGAACCAACGUCCUUAACCUUCCCAUCAAUCUCAGCGUUCUCCUCAAUGUUUGCGGUAGGAAAGCUCCAACGAACUUCCAGUGCGCUUAAGUUCAAAACAAACUUAUGGCAUACCUAGAAAACAAAUAAAUCAGUAAUCAUAUAUACAGUGUAUGAAUAAUAAAAAAUAAUCAUACAGUGUAUGAUUACUUGAAACCGUUAUCUUAUCUUGUUGUCUUCGUUUUAAGGUGAUUUCAUCUCUUCUUUGUAUUUGUGUCCUUUGAAUCCGAUUAAUAAAAGUAUCGAUCUUUAUGUUUUAUUGUUUAUAGUGGUUUCGAGUAUACAUGUGUAUCUUAAAAACCAAGAUGAAAAAUAAUAUUACAUACAUGAUACAUACAUACCACUAAAGCCUGUCUUAGCUAGUAUUUCCUUGUAAGCAUUAAGACAUGUAACAUCUAGCUCAUCGUUCCAUAUAUAACAUGCAGGAAUGGUUGGGAUAUAUCUAAUUAUUUUUUAUCUAACUAGAUAACAAUUUGUUCAAGAUCAAUUCUUCAAACAGAUAACACUUGCAAACUUGCGACAUAGUUUAAAAAAAAAGAACUAUAAAUAUGUAGUGUAAUGUUAGACGUAAUAUACAUAGUAGUCAAAAUAUAUUUUGACGUAGAAAUUAUAAUUUUUGCCAAAUAUCAAAGACUUUAAAAGUAAUAGGUGAAAAUAUCAUAAUUAAGUUGGUAAUGGAUUUUUUUUUUGAGUUUAAUGUUAAAUUAUAUUUAAAAAGAAAAAUUAACAUUUUUACAACAAGUGCAAUAUUGUUUUGAAAGAAAAACUUAUAAAGUAUUAAAAGUGAUUAAAAAAUUCCACGACGAUGGGAGCUUCUAACCUACGAAGAAGUCUUUCCCCUCUUCAUUCGGAAGUAGAAGCUCUGGUGUGGGCGAUGCGAUGCAUGAUUGGCCAUGACUUCAGAGAAGUUGCUUUUCUUACCGACUGUUCGGACUUGGUGAAGAUGGUGUCUUCUCCUCACGAAUGGCCGGCUUUCUCUGUCUACCUGGAGGAUAUCAAGAAUGAUAGGGAAGAAUUCUCAUCUUUUUCUUUAUCUUUUAUUCCUAGAAAUCUGAAUGUAAAAGCGGAUUACUUGGCACGCAAAGCUCGUUCCAGUCCGCAUUUGAUUAAGUUUGUAAACAAUUGUCCGUCAAGUUGGCUCAUUUGAGUUAGCUUUUUAUUUAGAUAGAACAAAAAAAAAAAAAAAAAAGAUUAAAAAAUUCCCCCAAAAAUAUCUUAAUCAAAUGACUAGGAACGUGCUUGAAACCAACGUUGGAAACCUUCAUCAUAUCGUCAAUUACCCUCUCGUCGAAUUGCUUGGAGCUGAUCAACUCAUUUUAUGAUUGUUGCAGUCGGAUGUGAAGCAUCUCCGUUAAGUUAGUAAUCGAUUUUUUGGCUUGAGGGGGGACGAAAAUGUAAUUUUUUCCUAAUAAUUCAUUUGUAUAUAUUUUUUGAGAACAAAACCUUGAGUUUUAGUUAUAAGAAAUUGUUAAGUCACAUCUUAUACACAUAUUGAUUGACAAAUUUCUCCAAUUAAUUUAUCAAAUAAAAUAGUAUUAAGUCAAAAACGAAUUUGAGUUAAUUAACACGUGCUCAAAUUUGGCAUUUUCAGACUAAUCAUUAUGUAUAUUAGAGAUGCCUUCAUAUACAAUCAAACGUACGUUACAGAUGUGUUAUACGUAAACUGUAACACAUACUAAAAUAUAUAAUGUAUAUGAUCGAACUUCGUUCCACUUCCAGUAGUUUGGAUUUAAUUUGGACGGAUUACAAAAGAAUCUAUAUAACUCACUCCAUGCUGAGACUUCUUCAACUAUAUAAAAUCAUUUACAAACAACAAAUUUAUUCAUUUAUUUCCGAUUAGAUUUUGUGGCAGAGAGAUAGUUAACAAUGGUGGUCUCGAUUCUGAUUAUUUGAAGGUCAAGGCCGAGACGCAAUAGUGGUUUCCAAAGUUUGAUGGUGAUUUCCAAAGCCGAGUAGAUUAAUGGAUAUUUCCAUAUAUAUAAUAAUGCUUAUAUACUAAUGCUUCAACCUUAACCUAAUACUUAAUCUAAACAAACCCAUUUACACAUAUGGGCUUUUACUACAAUCAUGGCCCAUGGCCUUUUUCCUCUUCCUCCUCAUACAACCAAUGCUUCUUCUUUUUUUGGUAAAAUACAACCAAUGCUUCUUCUUCAGUUGCUUACGCAUCUCUCUUCCUUCAUAAUUUCUCACCUUUCUCUUUGUUUCUCUUUUGCAGGGUUAAGUAAUGAAUCAACUUCCACCAGUUUUCACUUGAUUAUUUUUUAUGAUCAUUGAUUUUAUGCCUUUAUUACCUGUAUGCAGAAAUGUGUUUUUUUAUUUCCUUUGUAAGAAAAUCUAUAUCAUUUAUUUUUGAUGAAUUAACCGAAAAAUUCAGAUAUAUCUAUAUAUAUAAAGUUAACUUUUUCUCUCUUCUCCUUAAGCCACAUCAUCAUCCACCUCAUUUUAUUAUUUAAUUUUUAAAAUUAAUUAUACCAUUUUAUCAUUUAAUUUUACUAUUUAAACCUAUGUAAAUAAUAUAUAUAUAUAAAGUUAACUUUUUCUCUUUUCUCCUUAAGCCACAUCAUCAUCCACCUCAUUUUAUUAUUUAAUUUUUAAAAUUAAUUAUACCAUUUUAUCAUUUGAUUUUAAUAUUUAAACCUAUGUAAAUAAGUUUUUCCAAAAUAAAUAUGAAAGGUCUUUUUUAUUAUUAUAUAUUAUAAAACUAAAAAAGAUAAUUGAUUAAGAGUUAAAAAAACUUACUAAUUAUCGAUUAUACUAACAAAUAUAAUGUAUAAUAUAAACCCCACAUCAUCAUUCAUCUUAAUUUUUUACAUUGAUUUAGAAUUACAACACUUUAGUUUUUAAUUUCUUUUCUACCUCAUAACUUAGCUUUUAUUUUAUUUUUCUAUUCAAUAGUGGUUUUAAGAAAAUAAAUAAUAUAGUAAAAAACAUUUAUGUCCAAAAUAAAUAAAACAAGUAUAUAUUUAUAAAGUAAUGAUCAAUUUUUUGAUUAAUGGGGCUAAAUACAAAAACAAAAUACAAAGCAAGGAUAUUUAUACUAUACAGAUAGAUAUACCACUAAAUUGAUGUCAUCCGAAGCCACCUCAAACGAAAACACAACUGAUUUUAGGCAUAAGAAGUAGAAAAAAAAACCUUAAAGUAAAAUGAAAACACUUGGAUAAGUAAAUAAGUGGAUUCACCAGAAUAAUUUGGCUUACAAAAAUUGAAGGCUUUUGAAAUGUAAGCUUUUAACAGCUACUAUUUGACCUAAAUCAUAGUUAAAAAAAUAAAAAUAAACAUUGCAUAUACUAAAUUAAUACAAAACAACAGUAAAAACAAAAAAAAUAAACAGAAAACAAAGAAAAAUCAAAAUAUAAAAAACAAUUAUAAAACUCCCGCGCGCAGCGCGGAUCAACAACUAGUAUAUAUAUAUGUUAAACUCCUAUAAUCAUAUGGUGACAUAAAAUUUAUUACGGUCGUUAAGAAAUAACUUUGCCUUUUGAUAUGAUUUUUAAAAGAAUUAAUUUAGCCUUAAUCAACAAGACGAUGAUUAAUUACCAUAAUAUAGCCCGCACAGUUGUGGUCCAGUGGUAAGGAAGAAUUGGGGACAUGUUGGAAGGAACUAACCCAGAUUCGAUCCACCCUGGAAACAAAAAUCAUGGUUGUGUGGGAAGUCUGGGAAUUGGGCCAAGGCCCAGUUGCUUUACCUGUUAGUCAGAAAUGCAGACGACCUGAUUACCCUUGGCAUUAGUCGGAAAACAUUCCAAACUCGGGAUAGACAGUGUGUCAUGGCCCUUCGGAGAGAAGUCCACUCUGAAGCAUUUCGGUGCGAUUCUACCGGAGCUGACGGGAUAAGCCGAUAGGAUUUAUCAAAAAAAAAAAAUUACCACUUGGUUGAACCAUUAAACUUCUUUCAUUUUUCACGUCUUUGAGAUACUACUAUACAUAUGUAGUUAAUAAAAGAGAAAAUCAUUAUUAAAAAAAAAAGAAUAGAAUUGACCAAUCAAUUGAUAAUGUUAUCGUGAAGGAUGAUUUGGGCAUGAUCAUUAUCAUAUUUAUAUAUUAGAAGCCUGUUCGAAGGAAUAACUAAAUUCUCGAUCUCUCCUAUAGCUACCACCCGUGAACUAUAAUAGUACACUAUUAGCAUGUUCGACCUUAUUUUUUAUAAUCCGAAUAUAACAAAAGAUACCACUAUAAUACAUGAAACUAUAUGUUAUUUAAUCAGCAAAAGGAUCAAACUAGUAUGAUCACUUACAAUAUAUCAUUCAAUACAAAUCAUAGAAAUGUAUUAUCCGAAAGAGAAACAACAACGAUGAUUUUGUCGUUAAAUAACACCUUAAGAUAUACUAUAUUUUGAUCUAAUUUCCAACAAUUAUUUUACGUUAUUCAACUAUAGACAUUGAUUUCCUUUCAGAUUUUUUUUCGAAAUUAUGAUUUUAUUUGUUUCACACAAUGAAAAUGACCUUUUAAUGCCAAAUUUGUGCUAAACCAUCUAAUAAAGUCUUAACGUUGAAAUCAUACGAUUGAGAUAUUUCUAUAUUUUAAACCCUAAAAAUAUCCAAACUAGUCUAUUAUAAACCCCUAAUAUACGGAAUGAUAUGAUAAGUCCAACCAUUUGAGACUACUAAUACAAUUAUCACAUGGAAAUGAAGUAAUAAACUUUGUCUUCGUGUGUGAUUAUGUGUAGACAUAAUGGUGAAGGAUAAAAUUUAUGAGGCUUUGCAUAGUUAAUUUCUAAAAUAAGAUUAUAAAUUUGAUUAUAUUCUUAAUAAUCGUGAAGGCCCGUACAUAUAUUGGUAUAAUUCGAAAAUUUGGGAGUUGUCUAGUUAAUUAUUUUAGAGGAUCCACUUCAACCACCAAAUUUUGAUUUAUGGAUAUAUAAAUUCUUACCACCAACUAAGUAGUUAAUUAAAAUUAGAACCAUAUACUACUAGAGAUUACCAGCUCAUUUGAACAAUAAUGACAAUUUAGUGUUUUCUAAUAUUAAUCAAUCCCUUAUCUCUUAAUGAAAACCCUAUAAAUAGACACUAAACACAUAACAUAUCUCUCCACCCAUCUCAAACAAGCUUAAACGCACUACUACUUCUUGAGCCUUUUCCACUUUACAAAACGAAAUGGCUCCAAGAACCUCCCUUGCUCUUUUCCUUUCUCUCAACCUCCUCUUCUUCACUUACACCUCUGCGACAUGUUACAAGUGCCUCCCCACCCCAACUACCCCGACCAUCCCGACCAUCCCGACAACCCCGACCACCCCGACUACCCCGACCACCCCAAGCACAGGUACUUGUCCUAGAGAUGCCCUACAGCUCGGUGUUUGCGCCAAUGUGCUCAAGCUAGUGGACCUAAAAUUGGGAAACCCACCUGUUAAGCCAUGCUGCUCUCUUAUCCAAGGCUUGGCUGAC